RNAcentral lists this ribosomal RNA (497 nucleotides) under uncultured bacterium. RNAcentral describes it as "partial 16S ribosomal RNA". It matches the Rfam family "Bacterial small subunit ribosomal RNA", at positions 28 to 507 of the family's 1533-position model. The record is from RNAcentral.
GAUGAACGCUGGCGGCGUGCCUAAUACAUGCAAGUCGAGCGAACAGACGAGGAGCUUGCUCCUCUGACGUUAGCGGCGGACGGGUGAGUAACACGUGGAUAACCUACCUAUAAGACUGGGAUAACUUCGGGAAACCGGAGCUAAUACCGGAUAAUAUAUUGAACCGCAGGGUUCAAUAGUGAAAGACGGUUUUGCUGUCACUUAUAGAUGGAUCCGCGCCGCAUUAGCUAGUUGGUAAGGUAACGGCUUACCAAGGCAACGAUGCGUAGCCGAUCUGAGAGGAUGAUCGGCCACACUGGAACUGAGACACGGUCCAGACUCCUACGGGAGGCAGCAGUAGGGAAUCUUCCGCAAUGGGCGAAAGCCUGACGGAGCAACGCCGCGUGAGUGAUGAAGGUCUUCGGAUCGUAAAACUCUGUUAUUAGGGAAGAACAAAUGUGUAAGUAACUAUGGACGUCUUGACGGUACCUAAUCAGAAAGCCACGGCUAACUACGUG